AGAUUGAACGCUAGCGGGAUGCUUUACACAUGCAAGUCGAACGGCAGCGCGGACUUCGGUCUGGCGGCGAGUGGCGAACGGGUGAGUAAUAUAUCGGAACGUGCCCAGUAGCGGGGGAUAACUACGCGAAAGCGUGGCUAAUACCGCAUACGCCCUACGGGGGAAAGGGGGGGAUCGCAAGACCUCUCACUAUUGGAGCGGCCGAUAUCAGAUUAGCUAGUUGGUGAGGUAAAGGCUCACCAAGGCGACGAUCUGUAGCUGGUUUGAGAGGACGACCAGCCACACUGGGACUGAGACACGGCCCAGACUCCUACGGGAGGCAGCAGUGGGGAAUUUGGACAAUGGGGGAAACCCUGGAUCCAGCCAUCCCGCGUGUGCGAUGAAGGCCUUCGGGUGUAAGCUACGUUUGGCAGGAAGAAACGGCGUCGACCUAAGUACGGACGCCACGUGACGGUACUGACGGAAUAAGCGACCG
This 475-nucleotide ribosomal RNA is filed under the name uncultured soil bacterium. RNAcentral's name for it is "bacterial SSU rRNA". It matches the Rfam family "Bacterial small subunit ribosomal RNA", at positions 26 to 496 of the family's 1533-position model. The record is from RNAcentral.